Molecule: ribosomal RNA, 253 nt
Filed under: uncultured bacterium
Lineage: Bacteria
Description: partial 16S ribosomal RNA
Rfam family: Bacterial small subunit ribosomal RNA
Source: RNAcentral
UACGUAGGGGGCUAGCGUUGUCCGGAAUCAUUGGGCGUAAAGAGCGUGUAGGCGGCCCGGUAAGUCCGCUGUAAAAGUCAAAGGCUCAACCUUUGAAUGCCAGUGGAUACUGCCGGGCUAGAGUCCGGAAGAGGCGAGUGGAACUCCUGGUGUAGCGGUGGAAUGCGCAGAUAUCAGGAAGAACACCAACGGCGAAGGCAGCUCGCUGGGACGGUACUGACGCUGAGACGCGAAAGCGUGGGGAGCGAACAGG